RNAcentral lists this ribosomal RNA (888 nucleotides) under human gut metagenome. RNAcentral describes it as "bacterial SSU rRNA". It matches the Rfam family "Bacterial small subunit ribosomal RNA", at positions 8 to 896 of the family's 1533-position model. The record is from RNAcentral.
AGAGUUUGAUCCUGGCUCAGGAUGAACGCUGGCGGCGUGCCUAACACAUGCAAGUCGAGCGGGAAAUCCGUGACGGAUCCUUCGGGUGACGGAUCGGAUGGAGAGCGGCGGACGGGUGAGUAACGCGUAGGUAACCUGCCCUGUACAGAGGGAUAGCCACUGGAAACGGUGAUUAAUACCUCAUAAUGCCGGAUCUGCACAUGCAGGACCGGUCAAAGUUUUUUCGGUACAGGAUGGACCUGCGUCUGAUUAGCUAGUUGGUGGGGUAACGGCUCACCAAGGCGACGAUCAGUAGCCGACCUGAGAGGGUGAUCGGCCACAUUGGAACUGAGACACGGUCCAAACUCCUACGGGAGGCAGCAGUGGGGAAUAUUGCACAAUGGGGGAAACCCUGAUGCAGCAACGCCGCGUGAACGAAGAAGGCUCUUGGGUCGUAAAGUUCUGUUCUGAGGGAAGAAGAAAGUGACGGUACCUCAGGAGAAAGCUCCGGCUAACUACGUGCCAGCAGCCGCGGUAAUACGUAGGGGGCAAGCGUUGUCCGGAAUUAUUGGGCGUAAAGAGUACGUAGGCGGUCUGGUAAGCGCAAGGUGAAAGGCAUAGGCUCAACCAAUGUCAGCCUUGCGAACUGUCAGACUUGAGUGCAGGAGGGGAAAGUGGAAUUCCUAGUGUAGCGGUGAAAUGCGUAGAUAUUAGGAGGAACACCAGUGGCGAAGGCGGCUUUCUGGACUGUAACUGACGCUGAGGUACGAAAGCGUGGGGAGCAAACAGGAUUAGAUACCCUGGUAGUCCACGCCGUAAACGAUGAGCACUAGGUGUCGGGGCCGCAGGGCUUCGGUGCCGCAGUUAACGCAUUAAGUGCUCCGCCUGGGGAGUACGCACGCAAGUGUG